Molecule: ribosomal RNA, 373 nt
Filed under: uncultured bacterium
Lineage: Bacteria
Description: bacterial SSU rRNA
Rfam family: Bacterial small subunit ribosomal RNA
Source: RNAcentral
UAAUACGAAGGGAACUAGCGUUGUUCGGAAUCACUGGGCGUAAAGCGGGCGCAGGCGGACUGUCAAGUCAGGGGUGAAAUCCUGAGGCUUAACCUCAGAAUUGCCUUUGAAACUGACAGUCUGGAGUGUGUGAGGGGGUAGCGGAAUUCCGAAUGUAGAGGUGAAAUUCGUAGAUAUUCGGAGGAACACCGGUGGCGAAGGCGGCUACCUGGCACACAACUGACGCUGAGGUCCGAAAGCGUGGGGAUCAAACAGGAUUAGAUACCCUGGUAGUCCACGCCCUAAACGAUGAAUGCUAGCUGUUGGUCCUUUAGGAUCAGUGGCGUCGCUAACGCAUUAAGCAUUCCGCCUGGGGAGUACGGUCGCAAGAUUA